Molecule: ribosomal RNA, 293 nt
Filed under: Faecalibacterium prausnitzii
Lineage: Bacteria; Bacillati; Bacillota; Clostridia; Eubacteriales; Oscillospiraceae
Description: partial 16S ribosomal RNA
Rfam family: Bacterial small subunit ribosomal RNA
Source: RNAcentral
AGUAAUCCACCUGGGGAGUACGACCGCAAGGUUGAAACUCAAAGGAAUUGACGGGGGCCCGCACAAGCAGUGGAGUAUGUGGUUUAAUUCGACGCAACGCGAAGAACCUUACCAAGUCUUGACAUCCUGCGACAGACAUAGAAAUAUGUUUUUCCUUCGGGACGCAGAGACAGGUGGUGCAUGGUUGUCGUCAGCUCGUGUCGUGAGAUGUUGGGUUAAGUCCCGCAACGAGCGCAACCCUUAUGGUCAGUUACUACGCAAGAGGACUCUGGCCAGACUGCCGUUGACAAAAC